RNAcentral lists this long non-coding RNA (7498 nucleotides) under Citrus sinensis (sweet orange). RNAcentral describes it as "long non-coding RNA (CSIN_LNC001884)". The record is from RNAcentral. Lineage: Eukaryota; Viridiplantae; Streptophyta; Magnoliopsida; Sapindales; Rutaceae.
UGCAGCUUACUUCUAUUCAAUGUACUCUGUAUUAAGAGCUGCUACUUCUCCGCACUUUGAAGGUACAGAUUUUUUUGAGACUAGUUCAAUGCUUAUAUCCUUUAUUCUGCUUGGAAAAUAUCUGGAGGUUCUCGCCAAGGGAAAGACAUCUGAGGCAAUUGCCAAGCUCAUGGACUUAGCACCUGAAACAGCAACUUUGCUGACUUUAGACGAGGAUGGCAAUGUGAUAAGCGAAGAAGAAAUAGAUAGUAGGUUGAUUCAGAGGAAUGAUGUAAUUAAAAUUAUUCCUGGUGCAAAAGUAGCUUCAGAUGGUUACGUUUUGUGGGGACAGAGCCAUGUAAAUGAGAGUAUGAUAACUGGAGAGGCAAGGCCAGUGGCUAAGAGGAAGGGUUAUACAGUAAUUGGUGGCACUGUGAAUGAGAAUGGGGUGCUACAUAUUAAGGCAACAAGGGUUGGAUCAGAGAGUGCUCUUGCUCAAAUUGUUCGACUUGUUGAAUCAGCUCAGAUGGCUAAGGCUCCAGUUCAGAAGUUCGCUGAUCGUAUUUCAAAAUACUUUGUGCCUCUGGUAAGUAUACAAUAAGAUUCACCAUGUUUUGCAUUUGUUCUAUAGAUACUUAAGAGUCUUAAGAAAAUGUAUGGUUUCUUGCUAAUAAAACAGUUUCUUUUAGGUCAUCAUCCUAUCAUUUUCGACAUGGCUUGCUUGGUUUUUAGCUGGAAAGUUCCAUAGCUACCCGGAAUCCUGGAUACCAUCUUCGAUGGAUAGCUUUCAGCUUGCACUACAGUUUGGAAUCUCUGUUAUGGUCAUAGCGUGUCCAUGUGCGCUAGGCCUAGCGACUCCAACUGCUGUAAUGGUUGGAACUGGAGUUGGGGCAUCUCAAGGAGUACUGAUUAAAGGGGGUCAGGCCUUGGAAAGUGCACAUAAGGUUAGCAUAUGCUGUCAUGUUGCUCUUUGCUACUUGCUACGCAUACAAUGACUGGAAUCGGUUUCUUAUGGUUGUGUAUGACAAUCUUGUAGGUGAAUUGCAUUGUGUUUGACAAAACUGGAACUCUGACAGUUGGAAAGCCAGUAGUUGUCAGCACAAAGCUUUUGAAAAAUAUGGUACUGAGAGACUUCUAUGAAGUUGUUGCUGCAACUGAGGUAUGAUUUAUUUUCUGUGGAAAUCUUAGCCUUUUAAGAGAGUCCGUCAAGGUUGUAGUUGCUUAUGAUAUAACUAAUGAUAAUAUUUGUUGCGAUCUAUCUACUAGGUUAACAGUGAGCACCCAUUGGCGAAGGCUAUUGUUGAAUAUGCCAAGAAGUUCAGAGAAGAUGAAGACAAUCCUCUCUGGCCAGAAGCACAUGAUUUUAUCUCCAUCACUGGCCAUGGAGUUAAAGCCACGGUUCAUAACAAGGAAAUAAUGGUGGGAAACAAGAGCUUGAUGUUGGAUAAUAACAUUGACAUACCACCUGAUGCUGAAGAAAUGCUAGCAGAAACAGAGGGAAUGGCUCAAACCGGGAUCUUAGUAUCUAUUGACGGGGAAUUGACUGGAGUUUUAGCCAUAUCCGAUCCACUGAAACCAGGUGCUCAUGAAGUCAUUUCCAUUCUAAAGUCGAUGCAAGUGAGAAGCAUCGUGGUGACAGGCGACAACUGGGGAACUGCCAAAUCCAUUGCCAAUGAAGUUGGAAUUGAAGAUGUUAUAGCUGAAGCCAAACCUGAACAGAAAGCAGAGAAAGUGAAGGAGUUACAGGUACAAUGCAAAUUAUCUGCAUCUCAUAUAUGCAUGUUUCGCACUUGUAUCGAUUACAUACAAGAUUCAUUAUCUUGUUGACAGGCUUUAGGAUAUACUGUGGCAAUGGUGGGAGAUGGCAUCAAUGACUCGCCAGCACUUGUAGCAGCAGAUGUUGGAAUGGCAAUUGGUGCAGGCACGGACAUUGCAAUAGAGGCAGCUGAUAUUGUCCUGAUGAAGAGUAAUUUGGAGGAUGUGAUAACUGCUAUAGACUUGUCGAGGAAAACUUUUUCGCGUAUUCGUCUGAACUACAUUUGGGCUCUGGGUUAUAACCUUUUAGGCAUACCAAUUGCUGCGGGAGCCCUUUUCCCGACUACUGGAUUCCGUUUACCUCCAUGGAUUGCUGGAGCUGCAAUGGCAGCCUCUUCAGUUAGUGUUGUUUGCUGCUCUCUGUUGCUGAAGAAUUACAAGAGGCCUAAGAAGCUGAAUAAUCUUGAGAUUCGUGAAAUUUGUUGGAAAAAUAGCAAAUCAAUAUGUUAUUUUGAGGGCACAUUUUGAGUGGGUCCCACUUAGCGAAAGUGGGAAAUAUUGUGAAGUUCGGGUUCUACUCCGUGAAUACUUCGAAAAUGUAUAUUUAUUUACUCAAAAUGGUGCUUGGGUGAAUGAGAAAUUGUCUCUCAAAGUGUACCCUUGAAGUUGAAAAUUUGAAAGAAAAUGAGAUUUAUCCCAUAAGGGAAAAAUAAGCUAAGGGAUUUGUGUUUAUAUAUUGACACUUAUCAUGCAUGAGCAAGAAUCUCACGCGCACAGAGGGGUGCGAAUCCAAGACCGAUUUGGUUGAAUUCGUGUGUGCCCGUGUUUUUAAUUUCUUUUUUAAGUUUUUUGUAUCAGUUUUACAAUUUUUGAAUUCAAAGGAUUUGUAACCAAGUUCACAAUUUUUUUUUGGGUUGUUAUGCAAUUCAAUUUUUGAAUUCAAUUGGCUGAAUUGAAUUUAAACAAUUCAAUUGGCUGUUACAACAAUUAAAUGGCAUAUAUUGAAUUUGAAAAUUCAAUACUUUGCUAUUGUUAAAUCCUCACGUGUAUAAAAAGGCAGCUUACUCUUCUGUUUUACACACACAGAAACCAGCACACAGAGCACUUAAAAUUUUCUUUCCUCAUUCUUACGUCUGAUUUUCUGAUUGAGUUUGCCGCUGUUGUGGUUCGCCGGAAUUAUUUGUCUGCGCUUGACGGAUAAUUCGUGCUCGUUGUAUCCUGGGAAACAGUUACCAGCAAACCUAAAGCACUGCAGUAGGUGGUAAAUAUGUUUUAAGGACACUGUGUUACAGGCCUCGGGUUUAGUGUUACAGGCCUCGCACUGCAGUAGGUGGUAAAUAUGUUUUAAGGACACUGUGUUACAGGCCUCGGGUUUAUUUUCUUUGUUUUGUUUGAUUUCCAGUUAUUGUUUUUUGCUGCUGUUUAAUUUUAAUUGUUGUCUUGCUGCAGUUUAAUCUGUUAUCAAUUAAUUCCGUGUAAUUAGCUACUGGUUUUAUUUGUUAACUCACUGUUGUUAUUUUACUAACAGAAUUAUGAUAGAGUGAUUUAUGAUGAUGGUUCUUGAUUUAGUGCCCUGUAAUGUACAUAUAUGUUAAGGUGAAAAACACCCUUGAAAUAAGUUAGCCAUCUUAUUCGUAAUGACGAUCUUGGUUAGAGUGGCAGUUUAUGUACAGUCAUUCGGUUUGUUUAUGUAGGACUGUUUAAUGCUAAAUGAAUUUGUGGUUUUUUAUACUCAAGUUGUCGUUUCUUUCGUAAUAGUCUCUUUUGAUCCUCUCUUUUGAUUCUCUCUUUCUCAUUGCAAGACGGUUGGCUGCUUCGGCCCAAUUUUCGAAGACGAAACAGGCUUCAUAUGGUAGAUUUCAAUUUUAGGAAGGAUUAAAUAUAUAAAGUUGUGAGGCAAAUUCAGUUGCAAUAAAAAGUUACAAUAAUACCAACAAAGUGUUGGCUCUACUGGCAAUGGAGUCUCCUUAAGUGGUUUGAUUGGGUUUACUUCCCAGUUCGAGUCGCAGGGAAGUCACCUUUGUUGGGAGAAUCUGUGCCUCCCGAUUCGAGCGGGGACUUCUAAUCUGAGUUGUGGUACGAGCUUAAAGGUGUCUCCCAUAGUUGGGACCCUCCCCAAAAUAUCUCGUGGAUAAGACAAAAAAAAAAGUUACAAUAAUAAUAAAUUCUCUUCAUUUUAAUGUUUUUAUUUCCCCACAUCUUUUAAAAAAAAUCAUGGGGGAUAUCGCAAAAAAAAAAAAAAAGAGUAACUCUGUCGACGAAUCAUCAUGAGCUUUCAUUCCUCUGUCGUCGAAUCAAAAUUGGCGAUCAUGUUGGACUUUCAAAUCAACACUCUGUCGUGGAAUCAUCAUGAGCUUGCAUUACUUCUGCCCUGACGCCAAAUUCUAAUUUACAAAGGAAAGAAAAGGGUAUUCGUAAUGCAAUGAUACGAUGGCCCCCACUCCCCAACCGCACGAGAUUAAAAAUAAUGGUUUUUUUUUUAUAAGUUGAUUAUGAUAAUAAAUUAUCACUUAUAUUAUAUGAGAUUAUUAUUAAUAUUUAUAAUUAAAUUAUCAUUUAUUUUUACAUAAGACUAUUACUGAAACUAAUUUAUAUAUAUUUUAUAUGAAACACUGUCCAUAUUUUUUUAUUAUUUAUAAUAUUUGAGAGAUGUCUACUCCACACACAUUGAUAAGAAAAAAAGACUGACUUUCAAUCAAUUAUAAGUUAUAAUUGGUGAAGGUAGCAACCCAGCUACUCGACGAAUGGUCGAGUGACCCAAUGGCUUUCUUGUUAAGCCUCACUGCCCAACAAAUUUUCAUUUCCAAAUUUAUCCCAUCAUCAAUUUAUGAGUGGAGCUUGCAACGCCCUCAAGAAAUUUUAUUUUUUGUUUUUAUAUUAUUUUUUAUAAAAUAAAAAAUAAAUAUAGGAUUACAAUGAAAAUUUUAAUUUAAUUUUACUAUUAUUUAGAAUGUAUUUAAUUAAGUUAUAAAAAAUAUUUUUUUUAAUAGAACUAUUAUUAAGUAAUUUACUUCUUUAUUAUUUCAAAAUUAUUUUGAUUUUAUCUAUAAAUUAAUUAUAUCAUAUAUGAGGAUUAAAAAAUAUUUAAGGGUUCAUAAUUUCUAAAUAUAUCUCAGUUUAGUUAAAUUCAUAUUUUUCCUUUUAUGUAAAGUGUCAUUUUUAUUUUAAAUAGAUGAUAUUUAGAUAAAGUCGUAAAACAUUGGUAGAAAAGUGAUAAAAUCAAUGCCAACCUAAUCUUUAUCAGUAAGGUGAAUUUUUUAUUUCUAAGGGUUGGCGUCACAGAGCAAAAUGGCAUGGUCGCAUUUGGAGCAUGAUGGGUAGGGAUGUCAAAAAUUCCCACAGAGAUGGAGGCUUUAAGGAAAAUUUAUGAAUACAUUUAAAAUUUAAUUUGUAAUUGUGUAAAUAACAACAACAACAACACCAAUAAUAAUAACAUCUAAUAUAAACACUUCAAGAUUGUCGAAGAUAACUUUGCUGAUAAUUUAUACAAUGUAACUUUUAUGGAUUUGUUUAACAUUGAAAUUCUAUUUUUGUUUAAUUUCAUAGACUGUAUUGUAAUUUUGAUGAUAUGAACUUAGUUUGUUGGAAAUAAUUUUAAUUUUUUAAAUUUAUUUUUAUACUUUUGUGUUGCUAGUACGAUUUUAUACUUUUACAAAAUAAUAUAAUUAAAUUAAGUUUAGAAAAUAAAGUUUCAGUUAUUAAAAGAUUGCGUAUUCUCGGUGAUCCCCUCUUGUCCCCUCAAAUAAUUUUAAAGAGGACGGAAAGGUAGGAGGAUCCCUAAUGAUGUGUAUUAUAUAGUGGAAAAUUCAAUCAUAAACUUGAAGGAGGUUGUUUAUAUUUUUUAAAUGGAGCCAUCAUCACUCAUGCAUAUUAUAAAUAUAUUUUGUCUCGGGUUUGGUGGAGAUGAUAUAAUAAAGUUCAGAAGCAGUAUGCUAGCUUUUUAUAUACAAUAUUUGUCUGACCAUGGGGAUUCUUUCAGCAUAAACAGCGAGCGUUUAGUAAACGUAGUAUAUUAAAAUUUAAAGUUUCAGUCUGUACCUUAAUUACAUUUAUAUUUAAAAGAAGAGUGUGGUGGUGGAUCGAUCGAACCUAGAGAAGUUUAUUAAUUCCACAAAAACUAAAGCACAAUCAGACUCUCCACGUACUGUUUGACGAGAUUGAGUUAUUUAUUUUAGUUUAAGAAUUUGCUUGUGUUAGUGUGUUACAGCGCUGCAUGUCACAAAACAUACGGUCUCUCCCAAUAUUAAUAAACUUUUUUAUAAUUUUAAAAGCAGACAGCACACGAUACGUCUUUGUUAUAUAUGCAAGGAGAAGAAAAGAAAAGAAAGAAAUUAAGCAAGUUACAAGUGAUAUAUCAUGUAAUAUUAAUAGGUGCGGUAAUGGCGACCAGCAAGUUGCUGGCAUUGGCUUGUAUACGAAACGAGAGUAGUAGUUAUAGGGACUUGUUGACAUCGACACCCAAGUACCCGAAAGUUGUGUCGGGUCCGGUAAAGUCCUGCAGCAGAGCAAUAUUAUUAUCGGUGAAGGGAAUGACUUGCUCGGCCUGUGCAGUGUCCAUCGAGAAAGCCAUCAAACGCCUUCCUGGAAUACACGACGCCGUCGUUGAUGUCUUGAAUAACAGGGCUCAAGUGUUGGGGAGGCACCCUCCCCAAGAUACCUCGUGAUUAAUGUGCAAGUUUUUUUUUUUUUUUUUUUAAUAUCGUCAAGGAGGAGACAAUUCUUAAGGCAAUUGAGGAUGUUGGAUUUAAAGCAACGCUCGUCCCUGGGGAAAAAAUUGAGAAAUCUACUCAAGUAUGUCGAAUACGCAUUAAUAAACGAGCAUGCACUUCAUGCUCCUCGACUGUUGAAAAAACUUUUCAAGCAAUUCAGGGUGUACAGAAUGCCCAUGUCACCUUAGCUACUGAAGAAGCAGAAGUUCACUACGAUCCGAGAAUUCUGAGCUACAAUCAGCUUUUGAAAGCUAUUGAAGAUACAGGAUUUGAAGCCAUACCAAUCAGCACAGGAGAAGAUAUCGUAAGCAAGAUCCAUCUUCACCUUGAUGGCCUAUAUACUGAUCAUUCAGUGACAAUGAUUGAAAGUUCUCUUCAAGCGCUCCCCGGCGUUCUUGACAUUGACUUGGAUCCUAGCAUACAUAAAAUUUCCAUUUCUUACAAGCCAGCCAUGACAGGACCCAGAAACUUUAUAAAAAUGAUAGAAUCAACUGCUUCUGGGCAUUUUAAGGCCAGAAUAUUUCCUGAAGGUGAAGGAAGAGAAGCACAGAAACAGGCAGAGAUUAAGAAAUACUACAGAUCAUUUCUAUGGAGUUUGGCUUUUACCAUUCCUGUUUUUUUAACCUCCAUGGUCUUCAUGUAUAUCCCAGGUAUCAAGAAUGUACUGGAUACCAAAAUAGUUAAUAUGCUUACUAUUGGAGAGAUUAUAAGGUGGGUGCUAUCAACUCCUGUGCAGUUCAUUGUAGGCAGAAGAUUCUACACCGGUUCUUACAAAGCUCUGCGCAUUGGUUCUCCUAAUAUGGAUGUUUUGAUUGCCCUGGGAACUAAUGCAGCUUACUUUUAUUCGGUUUACUCAGUGUUGAGAGCAGCUCUUUCUCCAUAUUUUAUAGGUAAAGAUUUUUUCGAGACUACUUCAAUGCUUAUAUCCUUUAUUCUGCUUGGAAAUACCUAGAAGUUCUGGCCAAGGGAAAGACAUCUGAGGCUAUUGCCAAGCUUUUGGACUUGGCACCCGAAACAGCGACACUGCUGACUAUGGAUGAGGAAGGCAAUGUGAU